CGGACGGGUGAGUAACGCGUGGAAAACCUGCCGUAUACUGGGGGAUAACGCUUAGAAAUAGGUGCUAAUACCGCAUAAGCGCACAGCUUCGCAUGAAGCGGUGUGAAAAACUCUGGUGGUAUACGAUGGUUCCGCGUCUGAUUAGCUAGUUGGUGGGGUAAUGGCCUACCAAGGCAACGAUCAGUAGCCGGCCUGAGAGGGUGAACGGCCACAUUGGGACUGAGACACGGCCCAAACUCCUACGGGAGGCAGCAG
Molecule: ribosomal RNA, 255 nt
Filed under: uncultured bacterium
Lineage: Bacteria
Description: partial 16S ribosomal RNA
Rfam family: Bacterial small subunit ribosomal RNA
Source: RNAcentral